RNAcentral lists this ribosomal RNA (502 nucleotides) under uncultured Glomeromycotina. Its description in RNAcentral is "partial small subunit ribosomal RNA". It matches the Rfam family "Eukaryotic small subunit ribosomal RNA", at positions 591 to 1092 of the family's 1831-position model. Lineage: Eukaryota; Fungi; Glomeromycota. The record is from RNAcentral.
CCGAUAGCGUAUAUUAAAGUUGUUGCAGUUAAAAAGCUCGUAGUUGAACUUCGGGGUUUACUCAUUGGUCAGGCUUAAUCGUCUGUACUGGUGAGAUGAAUCUCUACCUUCUGAGGAACUUUCAUGUCAUUUAUUUGGUGUGAUUGGAAAUCAGGACUGUUACUUUGAAAAAAUUAGAGUGUUUAAAGCAGGCUAACGUCUGAAUACAUUAGCAUGGAAUAAUGAAAUAGGACGGACUGAUUCUAUUUCGUUGGUUUCUAGGAUCACCGUAAUGAUGAAUAGGGAUAGUUGGGGGCAUUAGUAUUCAAUUGUCAGAGGUGAAAUUCUUGGAUUUAUUGAAGACUAACUACGGCGAAAGCAUUUGCCAAGGAUGUUGUCAUUAAUCAAGACCGAAAGUUAGGGGAUCGAAGACGAUCAGAUACCGUCGUAGGCUUAACCAUAAACUAUGCCGACUAGGGAUCGGACGAAGUUAAUUUUAUCAUGACGCGUUCGGCACCUUACG